GGAAGGCCUGGAGCUGCCAGAAGAU
Molecule: non-coding RNA, 25 nt
Filed under: Cricetulus griseus (Chinese hamster)
Lineage: Eukaryota; Metazoa; Chordata; Mammalia; Rodentia; Cricetidae
Source: RNAcentral